AUUGAACGCUGGCGGCAGGCCUAACACAUGCAAGUCGAGCGGAUGAAGGGAGCUUGCUCCUGGAUUCAGCGGCGGACGGGUGAGUAAUGCCUAGGAAUCUGCCUGGUAGUGGGGGAUAACGUCCGGAAACGGGCGCUAAUACCGCAUACGUCCUGAGGGAGAAAGUGGGGGAUCUUCGGACCUCACGCUAUCAGAUGAGCCUAGGUCGGAUUAGCUAGUUGGUGGGGUAAAGGCCUACCAAGGCGACGAUCCGUAACUGGUCUGAGAGGAUGAUCAGUCACACUGGAACUGAGACACGGUCCAGACUCCUACGGGAGGCAGCAGUGGGGAAUAUUGGACAAUGGGCGAAAGCCUGAUCCAGCCAUGCCGCGUGUGUGAAGAAGGUCUUCGGAGUGUAAAGCACUUUAAGUUGGUAGGAAGGGCAGUAAGUUAAUACCUUGCUGUUUUGACGUUACCAACAGAAUAAGCACCGGCUAACUUCGUG
This 484-nucleotide ribosomal RNA is filed under the name uncultured bacterium. RNAcentral's name for it is "partial 16S ribosomal RNA". It matches the Rfam family "Bacterial small subunit ribosomal RNA", at positions 30 to 507 of the family's 1533-position model. The record is from RNAcentral.